CUACGGGGCGCUCCAGUGAGGAAUUUUGCGCAAUGGGGGAAACCCUGACGCAGCAACGCCGCGUGAGUGAUGAAGGCCUUCGGGUCGUAAAACUCUGUCAAGUGGGAAGAACCUAUGUAAGGUUAAUACCCUUAUGUACUGACGGUACCACUGAAGGAAGCACCGGCUAACUCCGUGCCAGCAGCCGCGGUAAUACGGAGGGUGCAAGCGUUAUUCGGAAUUAUUGGGCGUAAAGGGCGCGCAGGCGGUUUUGUAAGUCAGAUGUGAAAGCCCGGGGCUUAACCUCGGAAGUGCAUUUGAUACUGCAAGACUUGAGUAUGGGAGGGGGAAGUGGAAUUCCUGGUUUAGAGGUGAAAUUCGUAGAUAUCAGGAGGAACACCAGUGGCGAAGGCGACUUCCUGGACCAAUACUGACGCUGAGGCGCGAAGGCGUGGGGAGCAAGCAGGAUUAGAUACCCCCGUAGUC
This 465-nucleotide ribosomal RNA is filed under the name uncultured bacterium. RNAcentral's name for it is "partial 16S ribosomal RNA". It matches the Rfam family "Bacterial small subunit ribosomal RNA", at positions 339 to 795 of the family's 1533-position model. The record is from RNAcentral.